This 1250-nucleotide long non-coding RNA is filed under the name Nicotiana benthamiana. RNAcentral's name for it is "long non-coding RNA (NBEN_LNC023143)". The record is from RNAcentral. Lineage: Eukaryota; Viridiplantae; Streptophyta; Magnoliopsida; Solanales; Solanaceae.
CUAAGUUGUUACUACUUGAGAAGAUUCAUACCGAUGAGAAUCCGUCAGACAUGCUGACGAAAGUGGUGACUCGGGAGAAAUUUGAGUUCUGUAGAAACGUUGCAGGUAUACGCUCCAAGUAAUGGAGUCAUAUUGACAUGGAUGAGAGAGGGGGAGAUUGUUGAAUAAUCUCUCAACCAUGUGAAAAGGUACAACCACAAUUUUUGUUUCAAAUUGGUAGGUCACCAACCACAAUCUUGUUCAAAUUGGUAGGUCACCAACCACAUCAUUUGUUCAAAUUGGUAGGUCACCAACCCUACCAACCAUGUCUUUUUCACCACAUUCUUUGCUUAUAUAAAGGCCAUUCGGGAGCAAGCUAAAACACACCAACACAAAAACAAUUCUUUUGUGUGUUAUCUGAGAGAGAAUUUUGAGAGUUGCUCACAAUUUGGUGAGCGGUAGUUAGUGUCCAAAAAUUAGAGUGUAUAUUAUACAAGAGUGGUUGUGAGGUUUCUUUGGGUACAAUAUUUGUCCCAAAGGGUGUUCUUGUAUCGUCUCUAUUUUCGGUGUUUCUCAAGUUGGUCACUUGAGAUUUUGGUGUAACAUUAUUUUUUUUAUAGUGGAUAUUUCUCGGAGUUUGGCCAGUGGUUUUCCCUCUAAAUUUGGGAGGGUUUUCCACGUAAAUUCUGGUGUUCCGAUUGCUUGUGUUAUUUUUCAUAUUGUUCAACGACCGAGUAAAGUGAAAAUUAAUAUUUUAUUCCCAACAAGUAUUAUUAUAGGAUAAAAGAAUAUUAUCACCUUCCAAUAAAAGAAUACACGGGACAAAUAUUGUCUUUAGCAUGAAUAUAUCAGAAAUGGGAAAAUUGUGGUUUUGCAGUUGUAGAAUUUAUUUAAAUGGUAAAUCGUGUUAAGAUAGUGUAGACAAAGAGAAAAAAGAUAAUUGUAGAUAAAUAUACCUCAAUCAAGCAAAUAAUGUAAAAUCAUGACUAAUCGCUGACUAAGCUUAAAAUAUAAGUGGAUAGUUUGUCAUCAAUUUCCAGCUUUUAUGUUAUGGGCGGUGAGAGACGAAAAGGACUUCAUUUCUUGUGGAUCUAACAUCUAUCUAUACUCCUAUCGAAGUACUGAUUUUUCGUAUAUCGUCGUUGUAACGUAACUUGCACGGAGAAAAAAUUGAAGGCAGCAAUUUCAUAACAUAGUCAUGGUAAAUACUAAUGUUAUAUAUAAGCCGGAUUGAUUCAAACUUUUAAUUAUCAAAUCAAAUUGUAGUGUUG